AUUGAACGCUGGCGGCAGGCCUAACACAUGCAAGUCGAACGGUAACAGGAAGAAGCUUGCUUCUUUGCUGACGAGUGGCGGACGGGUGAGUAAUGUCUGGGAAACUGCCUGAUGGAGGGGGAUAACUACUGGAAACGGUAGCUAAUACCGCAUAACGUCGCAAGACCAAAGAGGGGGACCUUCGGGCCUCUUGCCAUCGGAUGUGCCCAGAUGGGAUUAGCUAGUAGGUGGGGUAACGGCUCACCUAGGCGACGAUCCCUAGCUGGUCUGAGAGGAUGACCAGCCACACUGGAACUGAGACACGGUCGAGACUCCUACGGGAGGCAGCAGUGGGGAAUAUUGCACAAUGGGCGCAAGCCUGAUGCAGCCAUGCCGCGUGUAUGAAGAAGGCCUUCGGGUUGUAAAGUACUUUCAGCGGGGAGGAAGGGAGUAAAGUUAAUACCUUUGCUCAUUGACGUUACCCGCAGAAGAAGCACCGGCUAACUCCGUG
RNAcentral lists this ribosomal RNA (490 nucleotides) under uncultured bacterium. RNAcentral's name for it is "partial 16S ribosomal RNA". It matches the Rfam family "Bacterial small subunit ribosomal RNA", at positions 30 to 507 of the family's 1533-position model. The record is from RNAcentral.